This 740-nucleotide ribosomal RNA is filed under the name uncultured bacterium. Its description in RNAcentral is "bacterial SSU rRNA". It matches the Rfam family "Bacterial small subunit ribosomal RNA", at positions 8 to 796 of the family's 1533-position model. The record is from RNAcentral.
AGAGUUUGAUCAUGGCUCAGAACGAACGCUGGCGGCAGGCUUAACACAUGCAAGUCGAGCGCCCCGCAAGGGGAGCGGCAGACGGGUGAGUAACGCGUGGGAAUCUACCGUGCCCUAAGGAAUAGCUCCGGGAAACUGGAAUUAAUACCUUAUACGCCCUUCGGGGGAAAGAUUUAUCGGGGUAUGAUGAGCCCGCGUUGGAUUAGCUAGUUGGUGGGGUAAAGGCCUACCAAGGCGACGAUCCAUAGCUGGUCUGAGAGGAUGAUCAGCCACAUUGGGACUGAGACACAGCCCAAACUCCUACGGGAGGCAGCAGUGGGGAAUAUUGGACAAUGGGCGCAAGCCUGAUCCAGCCAUGCCGCGUGAGUGAUGAAGGCCCUAGGGUUGUAAAGCUCUUUCACCGGUGAAGAUAAUGACGGUAACCGGAGAAGAAGCCCCGGCUAACUUCGUGCCAGCAGCCGCGGUAAUACGAAGGGGGCUAGCGUUGUUCGGAAUUACUGGGCGUAAAGCGCACGUAGGCGGAUAUUUAAGUCAGGGGUGAAAUCCCAGAGCUCAACUCUGGAACUGCCUUUGAUACUGGGUAUCUCGAGUAUGGAAGAGGUGAGUGGAAUUCCGAGUGUAGAGGUGAAAUUCGUAGAUAUUCGGAGGAACACCAGUGGCGAAGGCGGCUCACUGGUCCAUUACUGACGCUGAGGUGCGAAAGCGUGGGGAGCAAACAGGAUUAGAUACCCUAGUAGUCC